This 76-nucleotide transfer RNA is filed under the name Candidatus Kinetoplastidibacterium crithidiae. RNAcentral's name for it is "Candidatus Kinetoplastibacterium crithidii tRNA-Ala". It matches the Rfam family "tRNA". From Rfam's summary of the family: Transfer RNA (tRNA) molecules are approximately 80 nucleotides in length. Their secondary structure includes four short double-helical elements and three loops (D, anti-codon, and T loops). Further hydrogen bonds mediate the characteristic L-shaped molecular structure. tRNAs have two regions of fundamental functional importance: the anti-codon, which is responsible for specific mRNA codon recognition, and the 3' end, to which the tRNAs corresponding amino acid is attached (by aminoacyl-tRNA synthetases). tRNAs cope with the degeneracy of the genetic code in two manners: having more than one tRNA (with a specific anti-codon) for a particular amino acid; and 'wobble' base-pairing, i.e. permitting non-standard base-pairing at the 3rd anti-codon position. Lineage: Bacteria; Pseudomonadati; Pseudomonadota; Betaproteobacteria. The record is from RNAcentral. RNAcentral also lists the same sequence under 4 other names.
GGGGGUGUAGCUCAAUUGGGAGAGCGCCUGCUUUGCAAGCAGGAGGUCAUCGGUUCGAUCCCGUUCACCUCCACCA